UACGUAGGGGGCCAGCGUUGUUCGGAAUUACUGGGUGUAAAGGGUUCGUAGGCGGUGUGGCAAGUUGGGAGUGAAAUCUCUGGGCUCAACCCAGAGACGGCUUCCAAAACUGCCGUGCUUGAGUGCAGGAGAGGAACGCGGAAUUCCAGGUGUAGCGGUGAAAUGCGUAGAUAUCUGGAGGAACACCGGUGGCGAAGGCGGCGUUCUGGACUGUAACUGACACUGAGGAACGAAAGCCAGGGGAGCAAACGGG
RNAcentral lists this ribosomal RNA (253 nucleotides) under uncultured bacterium. RNAcentral's name for it is "partial 16S ribosomal RNA". It matches the Rfam family "Bacterial small subunit ribosomal RNA", at positions 524 to 776 of the family's 1533-position model. The record is from RNAcentral.